AUUGGGUGCAUGCUACAUUAACAUAAUUUUAACAUGCAACUUCAACAAUAUAAAUUCUUGUUUUGUGUCUGAACAUAAUAAAAUCACGUAAAUGUAACAACUUCAACAGGUUACAUCAAUAUUUUAUGUUAACUCAACGUAAUAAAAAUAGGUUUAGACAACAACAUGUCCAGAGCUGAAGGUGGCAGUAAUGAGCAAAUUCACAACUUGGACUACGGCCCUGCCGCUUCUUCAGGAUCCUGACGUAAAGGAAAACACCUGUUCAUGAUGUGUGCAAGAAGGUGUUAGAGCAGAGAACUACUGGAAACGGAAAACAGAAGUACAGAGACUUGCCCUAAUGGAAAGGUAACCCAUGAGCAUUAAAUAGAAAUGUGCUGUCAUGCUAUGCAUUUCCUGAGGUAAUUUACACGAACCUACCAAAAUGGUGUUUGAGUUAUUUCACUCUACAUAUUGUUUGCAUUGUAUAUCGUAUUAUCAUAAAUCUAUUUGUUUCACACGGUAAAGGAAAAUAAUCAAAUUGCUUACACAAGUAUUUAUUUAAUUAAGCUUUAACAUUUGUACCUUUUUAUAAGAUUGUGUACUCAUUUCACAGCACAUAAUUGGUUUCCUAAUUUAUUACAGCUAUUUUGACUUGAAACCUGUUCUUUAUCAUCUAAAAUGUGUCUCUUGGUGUUUACCUCCAAUGGCCAUUCUGUGAAAGUGUCCCAUUCUAGAGCUGAGAAGAGACAGCAGGACAGGGAAUCAUCUGCUAGUGUCGCGUCAGAUGUCUACAUGUCCACAAGUUGUUUAAGAAAAAGGAAGUAGAUACAACUAUCGCAAACACAAGGCAAGAAGUUAUCAGAGAUGAACCCUUCAUCACAGAGUUCAAAACCAGAUGGCCUGCUCUCUUCUGUGUUUCUGAGAAUAAAUUUAAGAGGACUACAACAGUUUGCUGCAACAGUUCUUCUCCAUGCUGGAUGGUUAUUCUUCAGACCUGAAAACGGUGUUUGGCAAGGAAGGCGGCAUUCAAGGACAAAAGAUUAAGAGCAUCAUGGUUCCCAUAACCCAGACUAACUCCAUUGAUGUCAGAAGAGUACAUCCUUUAAGCCCAGUGUGUGUUCCUCAAUGAAGAUCCUGGCAACCUUGUGAAAGAAUGGAUGAUCGUGGACGCCUUGAAGAAGCCAUGAUAGAGACAAUUCUUGAAGUUUUUGUCAUUCACAAAGAUGCAGAGGCAGAUGAUGACCCUGAAGAUGUAGUCAUCGUUUCAAGUCCUGGAUGAGUUGGGUAGUGUCCCACUUGCUGUGUUGUUGUUUGCUCUUGUUAUAUGCUCUCAACCUCAGCUACCCUCCACUAAAAGUUGUUUGAAAUAUUGGCCCAAUGCUGUAUGUACAAUACUGGAUGUUAGUGACAUUUUGUAGCUGCCUUUGACAUUUGAAAGCUGUUUUAUCGUUUUUAUGAAGCUUAUAAAGUAUUCUAACCAGUCUAAAUCCAA
Betta splendens (Siamese fighting fish) is the source of this 1471-nucleotide long non-coding RNA. RefSeq lists it as uncharacterized. The record is from RefSeq and is a predicted model, not a curated record. The transcript is spliced from 6 exons. NCBI's taxonomy places the organism in Eukaryota, Metazoa, Chordata, Actinopteri, Anabantiformes, Osphronemidae.